Taeniopygia guttata (zebra finch) is the source of this 1009-nucleotide non-coding RNA. The record is from RefSeq and is a predicted model, not a curated record. Lineage: Eukaryota; Metazoa; Chordata; Aves; Passeriformes; Estrildidae.
GGGGAUCAGUCCUGUCUUGCUGUUGAGGGUCCCUUCCAGCCAGCCGGGCUCCUGCGACGGGUGCACUGCGGAGACAGGCCAAGGGCAGGGGCCAUCGCUGACCAGAGGCUGGCACAGAGCAAAGGUGGCAGCAAGUGCUGGCAGUGACCCACUGGCCCCGCUCUGCCAAAGCCAUCCAAGGGCAGCUGCAACCACAAGGAGAAUUCCACAAGGAAGAAUUAGCAUUUAGGGAAGGUUAUUUCAAAACAGAAAGACAAGCAGGUCCAUGAAGAAUUUGCAGCACUUCUUUAGAGCCUGUACCUGAAGCAACAAACAGCAACCCAGAGACACAGAGACGACAGCCGACGACAGCGAGUGCCUUGGGAAUAUUCCCAGCAUGAGACACAGCUACAAAAUGAAGUGCCAAGACCUUGGGAAGUGUUUCAAGGCUUGGGUCUGCGUUUGUGUGGACAACAAGAGCUGGAUCUUCCAGUCAACCCCCGCUCCACUGCCCCACUGUCGCACCUGGCCCCCCGUGUGCCGCGGGUCUGUGCUGCAGCACGGCCACUUACCUGCCUCGUGCUUCCCCCAGAGCUCCCAGAAAUAGUGCUGCUGUUUCUGGAUGUUAAUGGUGCCCGUGAGCAGCCUCCACCCCCUCGGUCUGUCACUUGUGGUGCUCAUACAUCCAGUGUAUAAAAAUGUCAUUAUUUUGUUUCCCAUGUUUCACAUCCCUUUUUCCCCUUGUGCUGAUUCCUGAAGCCACAGCUGUCAACUGGAGCUGAAUCAAGUUACUGAACUGGUGACUGCACAUGGAAGUUUUUGGGUCCUUCCAAACUGUUCAAUUCUCAAGUUCACCAAAAAGCAAUUAUUGUACUAAAAUACCGGUUUGAUUAAUUUACUGCUUCUCUGCUUAGCGCUCAUUGGUAUUCCCUACCCAAUUCAGAUUAGAAACUCCAUCCCUGAUAAAACACCAGAAAUCUCUCUCCACACUGCAAAUGCCUCUGUAAAAACAAGAAGUUUUGUAGAAGCA